GGGUUGUGAGGUUAAGCGACUAAGCGUACACGGUGGAUGCCCUGGCAGUCAGAGGCGAUGAAGGGCGUGCUAAUCUGCGAUAAGCGCCGGUAAGGUGAUAUGAACCGUUAUAACCGGCGAUACCCGAAUGGGGAAACCCAGUGUGAUUCGUCACACUAUCAUUAACUGAAUCCAUAGGUUAAUGAGGCGAACCGGGGGAACUGAAACAUCUAAGUACCCCGAGGAAAAGAAAUCAACCGAGAUUCCCCCAGUAGCGGCGAGCGAACGGGGAGGAGCCCAGAGCCUGAAUCAGCAUGUGUGUUAGUGGAAGCGUCUGGAAAGGCGCGCGAUACAGGGUGACAGCCCCGUACACAAAAGCGCAUGUGCUGUGAGCUCGAUGAGUAGGGCGGGACACGUGGUAUCCUGUCUGAAUAUGGGGGGACCAUCCUCCAAGGCUAAAUACUCCUGACUGACCGAUAGUGAACCAGUACCGUGAGGGAAAGGCGAAAAGAACCCCGGCGAGGGGAGUGAAAAAGAACCUGAAACCGUGUACGUACAAGCAGUGGGAGCACCCUUCGGGGUGUGACUGCGUACCUUUUGUAUAAUGGGUCAGCGACUUAUAUUCUGUAGCAAGGUUAACCGUAUAGGGGAGCCGCAGGGAAACCGAGUCUUAACCGGGCGUUAAGUUGCAGGGUAUAGACCCGAAACCCGGUGAUCUAGCCAUGGGCAGGUUGAAGGUUGGGUAACACUAACUGGAGGACCGAACCGACUAAUGUUGAAAAAUUAGCGGAUGACCUGUGGCUGGGGGUGAAAGGCCAAUCAAACCGGGAGAUAGCUGGUUCUCCCCGAAAGCUAUUUAGGUAGCGCCUCGUGAAUUCAUCUCCGGGGGUAGAGCACUGUUUCGGCUAGGGGGCCAUCCCGGCUUACCAACCCGAUGCAAACUGCGAAUACCGGAGAAUGUUAUCACGGGAGACACACGGCGGGUGCUAACGUCCGUCGUGAAGAGGGAAACAACCCAGACCGCCAGCUAAGGUCCCAAAGUCAUGGUUAAGUGGGAAACGAUGUGGGAAGGCCCAGACAGCCAGGAUGUUGGCUUAGAAGCAGCCAUCAUUUAAAGAAAGCGUAAUAGCUCACUGGUCGAGUCGGCCUGCGCGGAAGAUGUAACGGGGCUAAACCAUGCACCGAAGCUGCGGCAGCGAACGUAUCACUUAAAGCGAUUCAGCGGGUUACGAUUGACGGAGCGAAGCGACGUCAAAGCGUAUACAAAGUCGAGUCGGUUUAAGGAUACGUU
RNAcentral lists this ribosomal RNA (1270 nucleotides) under Salmonella enterica subsp. enterica serovar Adjame. RNAcentral's name for it is "partial 23S ribosomal RNA". It matches the Rfam family "Bacterial large subunit ribosomal RNA", at positions 1 to 1298 of the family's 2925-position model. Lineage: Bacteria; Pseudomonadati; Pseudomonadota; Gammaproteobacteria; Enterobacterales; Enterobacteriaceae. The record is from RNAcentral.